Molecule: transfer RNA, 70 nt
Filed under: Dipodomys ordii (Ord's kangaroo rat)
Lineage: Eukaryota; Metazoa; Chordata; Mammalia; Rodentia; Heteromyidae
Rfam family: tRNA
About the family: Transfer RNA (tRNA) molecules are approximately 80 nucleotides in length. Their secondary structure includes four short double-helical elements and three loops (D, anti-codon, and T loops).
Source: Rfam by way of RNAcentral
GGGAAGUUGGCUCAGUGGUAGAGUGCUUGCCUUGUAUGCAUGAGGCCCUGGGUUCGAUUCCUCAGUACCA